This 1432-nucleotide ribosomal RNA is filed under the name uncultured bacterium. RNAcentral describes it as "16S ribosomal RNA". It matches the Rfam family "Bacterial small subunit ribosomal RNA". The record is from RNAcentral.
UGAACGCUAGCGGCAGGCUUAACACAUGCAAGUCGAGGGGCAGCGAGUUAGUUUAGCAAUAAAUUAAUGUCGGCGACCGGCGCAAGGGUGCGUAACGCGUGAGAAACAUACCUAUUACAGGAGGAUAAACCUUGGAAACGGGGCCUAAUACUCCAUAGUAUUAUUAUCAGGCAUCUGAUAAUAAUUAAAGCGACUUAGUGGUAAUAGAUUGUCUCGCGUGACAUUAGUUAGAUGGUAAGGUAACGGCUUACCAUGACUACGAUGUCUAGGGGUUCUGAGAGGAAGGUCCCCCACACUGGUACUGAGACACGGACCAGACUCCUACGGGAGGCAGCAGUGAGGAAUAUUGGACAAUGGAUGGAAAUCUGAUCCAGCCAUGCCGCGUGCAGGAUAACAGCCCUAUGGGUUUUAAACUGCUUUUGUAUGGGAGCAAUAAGCUCUACGUGUAGAGUGAUGAGAGUACCAUACGAAUCAGCAUCGGCUAACUCCGUGCCAGCAGCCGCGGUAAUACGGAGGAUGCAAGCGUUAUCCGGAUUUAUUGGGUUUAAAGGGUGCGUAGGCGGCUUUGUAAGUCAGUGGUGAAAUUUUGAAUGCUUAACAUUUACCGUGCCAUUGAAACUGCGAGGCUAGAAUUUGCAUGCUGUUAGCGGAAUGUGUAGUGUAGCGGUGAAAUGCAUAGAUAUUACACAGAACACCAAAUUGCGAAGGCAGCUAACAAAAGCAUUAAUUGACGCUGAUGCACGAAAGUGUGGGUAUCAAACAGGAUUAGAUACCCUUGGUAGUCCACACAGUAAACGAUGAUAACUAUCUGUUGGCGAUAUAUAGUCAGUGGACAAGCGAAAGCGAUAAGUUAUCCACCUGGGGAGUACGACCGUAAGGUUGAAACUCAAAGGAAUUGACGGGGGCCCGCACAAGCGGAGGAACAUGUGGUUUAAUUCGAUGAUACGCGAGGAACCUUACCCGGGCUCGAACGGUAUGUGAACGCGGCAGAGAUGCCAAGGUCUUUCGGGACACAUAUCGAGGUGCUGCAUGGUUGUCGUCAGCUCGUGCCGUGAGGUGUCGGCUUAAGUGCCAUAACGAGCGCAACCCCUGUUGUUAGUUACCAUCAAGUAAAGUUGGGGACUCUAACAAGACUGCCACCGUAAGGUGUGAGGAAGGUGGGGAUGACGUCAAAUCAGCACGGCCCUUACGUCCGGGGCGACACACGUGUUACAAUGGCAGGUACAGAUUGAAGCGAAAUAGUGAUAUUAAGCCAAUCAUAUAAAACCUGUCUCAGUUCGGAUUGAAGUCUGCAACUCGACUUCAUGAAGUUGGAUUCGCUAGUAAUCGCGCAUCAGCCAUGGCGCGGUGAAUACGUUCCCGGGCCUUGUACACACCGCCCGUCAAGCCAUGGGAGCUGGGGGUGCCUGAAGUUCGUGACCGUAAGGAGCGA